RNAcentral lists this long non-coding RNA (4183 nucleotides) under Citrus sinensis (sweet orange). RNAcentral's name for it is "long non-coding RNA (CSIN_LNC000866)". Lineage: Eukaryota; Viridiplantae; Streptophyta; Magnoliopsida; Sapindales; Rutaceae. The record is from RNAcentral.
UUCUUUCCUCAUCUUGCCGUCUUUCCUCACCGUUGUCCACUUUCCUCAUCUUACUAUCUUCCUCGCCGUCGUCUUCUCAAAACCUCGGUAUGAUCUUUGUUCACUUCAAAGCUAAAUUAAUUAAUUGAUUAGUUAAUUUGUUAACAAAGAGCAAAGGAUGCUAGUUUGUUAGGGUUACUUAUUAGUAGUUGAUGAUUUAGGUGUGUGCUAGUUUGGAAAUUGUGUAUUGGUUUUGUUAUAUUGUUAAUUUCAUUAAUGAGAUAUCUAAAUGGUCAUUUGAAAUCUUGUUCUGAUUAUUAGUUACUAGAGAUCUCUAUAAACACAGCUCUGGGGAUUAGUGCUUUUCCUACGAAAGACAACAUUCGAUGUUUAGUGUAAUGAUUCUUGCCUCGUCUCAAUUUCCUUAUAAAGUUAAUUAGCUAGGUAAUACUAGUCAUUGCUAUGUUUAGGAUUUUUUUCCUUUACAUUUUUCAUGCUUUAUAUGGAAUUGUGGUGUUCAUUUACUGUAAAGUAUAAAUUGUGAUUUUGGUUUCAGGGAUUUGUUUCCUCUUUGUUUACAAAAUUUUUUUGUCAGUAGCAGUAGCAUAUAUAAUGUAGAUUUAAGAGAUGAAUAAUUAUCUAGGGCUAUUUGUUUUCUGGUUUCUUAAGAUUGAUAGUUGUAAGUGCAAUAUAGGAUGGUCGCUUACGAGAGUAGAUUACUUUUCAAAUGCCAUAACUUAGGUUACAAAUGUCCAUUUGGGCCAUAUAAUAUACUGUUUUGAAGUAUAUGAUGAGAUGAACCAAACUUAGAACCAUUUGCACCAUUUUACUCUAUAGUCGAGCUGAAAAUUUCACUUCUUUCCUGGUUAUUUUUCAGUUUUAAGAUAUUUUCCUAUUUUUUCUGUUCCUUUUAGAAUUUAUCUUUUUUUUUCUACUCAUCGAAUUUUGGUGUUGUUUCUUUUUUCUUUUGUUUAGAUUAGGAGAAUUUUAUUAUCAUAUAAUUUUUUUUUAUAUUUGCAUGUAUUAGUAAAUUCACUAUGUUUAGGGUUAGUUUUGUAUUGAAAUUUGACGUUAUUAGGAACUAAUGAAGUACUAGUACUGAUUUUACAACAUAUGUAUGUAUAUUAACUAAUAUUUUUUUUUCAUAAUCAGAACCUAAUUAGAAUAUAAUUUAGCUUAUGGUGUAAAAUUUUAUUUUGUUUUGUUAAAAACAAGUGUUUUUCCCUAUGUAAUAGUUUAUCUUGUGUUUUUUGUUUGAACUGUUUGCUAUCAUCUCUUUUGUUUCUUAUCAAUUUUUCAAAAAGUAGCUGUAGGGAAAUUAAUUCUGAUUUGGUAAAUAAAUUUCACAUUAUUUAUACCCUUUAUAAUGGUGAUUUUACAUGUUAGUAGUUUUGAGUUUGUUAAUUUAUAGUUACAUGAAAGCAAUCUAAUACUAUGGUCAUAUACGUAAUAGCAUGACCUAAUUAAUGUGGGCCUAAUUGUAUUAACUAUUUGUUCAUUUUCGUGUUUUUUAUUGGGUUUAAAAGUUGUUCUAUCAUUUUUUUAUUUGUGUCUUGUGUUAUGAGUACAUAAACAUGUGAGGCAAGUUUGUUUAUUGCCCAAUCAUUAUAUCAAUAUUUUUUUUAUUGAGCUGGAAAGUGUUGUCUCUUAUUUUAUAUUAGAAAGUGAUUGAAUGUAGUAGAAAGACCAACAAUAUUAUAUGAAUUAUUUUUGUUUAAGAUUUCAAAGUUUAUGUUUUCGUCUAUAUGUUUUUCAUUUGUUUUUGACUAGUUUAGUGUGCAAGGUCAAUAAUUUUUGUUAUAUUUAUGUUGCAACAAGGGUAUUGAAGUCAUUGUCAAUUUAUAUUUUGCUUGUAUGUAUUGGUAAUAAAUUUUGAUUUUUUUAUUUAUAUUUAACUUCGUUAAUGUUUCGGGAUCAAAACCAAUUAAAAUAAAAAAAUGGAUAAGUCCUGGAUUUAUUAUAGUAAAAUGUCACCAGAGUAUGAUGUUGGGGUUGUGAAGAAUUUAUGAAGUUUGCUUCUGAAAAUGUUGAAGGCAUUAGCAUCAUUAAAUGUUUGUCUAGUAAAUGUAUAAAUUUAUCCUUUUGUACACCUAAGGUUGCUCGUGAACAUUUAUGUUUUCAUGUGUCUUACACAACCUGGAGCGGCAUGGGGAAUAUGUCCACAAGACACCACUUCCUAAUGUAGAUGUAGAUGUUCUGUUUGAGUUUAUGGACUACAAUGAUGGAAACUCAGUAGAUAUGUUAACAAUGUUUAUAAGGAUUGUGCUGCAGAUCUUAAGGCAUUUAAAAGACCUCUAGAAUAGGUUGAUAAGCCUUUUACCCAAGAUGCAUAGAUUUCACUAAAUUAGACACUUUGGUUAGCUUGUUCAAUAUAGAGGGUAAAUGGUUUGGCAUAAGUUUUAUGAGUUAUUGGGUUUUCUAGCUAAGUUGUUGCCUGAAAGUAAUGAAAUUCUUGUGUAUGUGAACGAGGACAAAAAGACAAUGUCUGCUUUAGGCCUAAAAUAUGUAAAAAUACAUGGUUGUCCAAAUGGUUGCAUGCUCUAUAGAAAAGAGUAUGAAAGGCUAUUUGAAGGUCAUAAUUAUGGUUUAUCUAGAUUAAAAAAAUAUAGUAGUGCUGACUAAAAUAGAAAAGGGAUUAUUGCAAAAGUUUUAUGGUACUUUUUGCCCGUACCUAGGUUUAAGUAUGUGCUUCAAUCUUAACAAAUUGCCAAAUACUUGACUUAACACACAAAUGAUAAAGUUAAUAAUGGUAAGCUCCAACAUUCGGCAAACUCACCAUAAUGGAAAUUAGUAGAUAAUAAAUGGCCUACCAUUGCAUUAGAUCUUAGAAAUCUUUGCCUUGCCUUAUCAGCCGACGGAAUAAAUCCACACAGCUCUCUUAGUAAUAUAUAUAAUUGUUGGUCAGUUGUUCUUGUAUUGUAUAAUCUUCCUCUGUAAUUAUAUAUGAAAUAAAAAUUUAAUAUGUUGUCCCUACUAAUUUCUAGUCCUCAAUAAUAAGGCAAUGACAUUAAUAUAUACUUAGCACCUUUAAUAGAAUAUUUACAAAUUUUGUGAGAAGUUGGUGUAGAGGCUUAUGAUGCCUAUAGAAAUGAGUUCUUUAUUUUAUUGGAUGUGUUACUAUAGACUAUGAAUGACUUUCUAGCAUGCAAAAAUCUAGUGGAUUACACUGUUAAAGGAUAUAAUGUUUCUCUAUAUUGUGGAGUAGACACUACUAAAUAUAGACUUAAACAUAGUGGCAAAAAUGCAUAUAUCGAUCAUUGUCAUUGGCUUCCUCAUGGUCCCUAGACCAACGUAAAGCCUUUGACAACACCCACAGAGAGAGUUUGCCCUGAAACCAUUCAAUGGCGACGGCAUUUUGCGGCUGAUUGGGUCGAUUGAUAAUAAAUGGAGAAAGAACAACUCUAAAAAGCACAAAAGUUCCAACAAUGAUAAUCGCAUAUGGUGAGAAAAAAUCCAUAUUCUAUAAUUUAAAGUAUUUACUUGUGCAUCAUCAAUUAGAUGUUAUGCACAUUGAAAAGAAUGUGCGCAAGAGAAUUUAUGGAACACUACUUUACAUUCUAAUAAAGACCAAAGAUGAUCUUAUGUCAAGCAAUGAUCUUGUGGAAAUGAAAAUUAGGGAUGAAUUAGCACCAACGUUUUUUUAAAAAAGCACACAUUCUUUUCUGCAGCUUGUUGCACAUUAACUAGAGACAAAAGGACAAGGUUUUGCAAAGCUUUGAAAAGUAUUAAGGUUUCUGCUGGAUAUUCUUCAAACAUAAAAAAUCUUGUUUUAAUGAAGGACUUUAAACUUCAAGGCCUUAAAUCUCAUGACUGUCAUGUUCUUAUGCGACAACUUUUAGCUAUUGCCAUUAGGAGUGUCUUGACGUGCUAAUAAUUUCUAUACUAUUUUAAUACUUUCUUAACUUAAUUUAUGUUAAAUUAUAUUUUAUUAUAUUAAUUUUUAUCUUAAUUUUUAUGUUUUGUCAUUGUAGGAAUAUUGGGAAUAUUUAAGUGAAAGGAAGCAAAAAGAGGAAAUGGACUGGAGCUUAAUAGAAAUAAUUGUAGAUUGUGAGAGAAAAGAGGAAAGAAUAAUGCUUAAAGGAGAAAUUAUUAGGUUUAUUGGCUAUUUGUACAAGUCACGUGCAUAAUUACAUAAAGCAUUGGCAUUUGAUUCAUGUGCAUGAGCUUAGAAAGUGGGCUAGGUUUGUUUCAUUUUAAAUCUUUU